RNAcentral lists this ribosomal RNA (253 nucleotides) under uncultured bacterium. RNAcentral describes it as "partial 16S ribosomal RNA". It matches the Rfam family "Bacterial small subunit ribosomal RNA", at positions 524 to 776 of the family's 1533-position model. The record is from RNAcentral.
UACGAAGGGGGCUAGCGUUGUUCGGAUUUACUGGGCGUAAAGCGCACGUAGGCGGCUCGUUAAGUCGGGGGUGAAAUCCUGGGGCUCAACCCCAGAACUGCCUUCGAUACUGGCGAUCUAGAGUCCGGAAGAGGUGAGUGGAACUCCUAGUGUAGAGGUGGAAUUCGUAGAUAUUCGCAAGAACACCAGUGGCGAAGGCGGCCAACUGGUCCGAUACUGACGCUGAGGUGCGAAAGCGUGGGGAGCAAACAGG